CACAAAUAUUCAACUUAUUAAAAUUAUUUUGCUUCCUGACUAAAAUGACUUACAAAAAAGGAUAUUUAAAUACCAAAAUAACAGUGUUACCUUCUUUUUUCUUCAUAAAGGCUAUAAACACUUCCCAGUCAUUUAAGAAAGGAUCCAAGUAUUUAUUUCUAAUAUAUGUCAUUAAUUGAUCCAUUUCAGUUAUUCUGGCACAUGCUCUUUGCUGCACUUUCUAUAAUGGGGCCAUAGUAAAGGUAAAGGUUUCCCCUGAUGUUAGGUCCAGUCGUGACCGACUCUGGGGGUUGGUGCUCAUCUCCAUUUCUAAGCCGAAGAGCCGGCAUUGUCCAUAGACAUCUCCAGGUCAUGUGGCCGGCAUGACUGCAUGGAGCGCCGUUACCUUCCCACUGGAGCGGUACCUAUUGAUCUACUCACAUUUGCAUGUUUUCAAACUACUAGGUUGGCAGGAGCUGGGGCUAACAGUGGGCGCUCAUUCCACUCCCGGGAUUUGAACCUGGGACCUUUUGGUCCACAGGUUCAGCUGCUCCUGUUCGAGAGGUUUUAUUAUCUCCCAGCCCCUUUCCACACUGUCCUUAUAUUCCAGGAUCUGAUCCCAGGUUUUUUGGCUUUAAGAUGGAUUAUAUGAGUCCACACUGCCAGUUCCUGGGGUAUAGAGCCUGUCUGGAAGGGCCCUAAGAUUUCAAAGUGUAGAAGAAAAAGUUUCAGAGUUCUAAUUGCUCUCCAUUUGUGCUUCCCUUGAGCCACCUGUGUGUCUGUUUGACAAUCUGAUCAGCUGUUUCAGGCUUUAAAAAAGCACAUGUGCAUUGUAACAGUCAACACAAAGGGGAGAAGGGGAAAUCACAUAUUUUGCAUGACUGCAGGCAGAGGCGGUCCAACAAUGAGGCGAAUUAGGCAGUCACCUGUGGAGCAAAACAUACGGGGGCGCAGUCGAGACUGCUUUUUCUGUUGAUUUGUUGUAAAACAUGAUGUUUUGGUGCUUAGUUUGUAAAAUCUUAAUGUAAUUUGAUGUUUAAUAGGCUUUUCCUUAAUCCCUCCUUAUUAUCCAACAUUUUCGUUUAUCCAACGCUUUUAUUUUUCAGUGAUUGGUUUUUUUUGGGGGGGGGGCAAAAUUCUGUUCGCCCACACUUGAAAAAUACCUAGGGCUGGCUCUGACUGCAGGGAUAUACAGUCAUGCAAAGGUGUGCAUUUUUGAGCCGGAAUCGGGUUAUAAGCACACCUUUUACCUCUCAACCCGAUCCCUCCCUCACUUUGGCUAAACAUCAUUUAGCCUCCACCACUCUUUUAACCCAGUUACUUUUGUUUUUUACAGCAUGUGUAGAAGGGCCCUGAGUGCAUCACCCAAUGUCAAAGACCAGGAUUUCUUAAUAUGCAGUCAAGUAGUUAAAGUGGAAUAGAACUGCUAGAAUUAUGUGGAAAAGAAACAUGAAGUGCAGUUGACCCUCUGUAUCCAGACUCAACUAUUCAUGGUUUGAAAAUAUGUCAGCUAUGCUCCUUCCUACAAUUGGAAGACCUAAAGAUGGUAAUGCAUUCACUAGUAGCCCCAAGAUUAUACUUCCGCAAUGCUCUGUACAUUGGGCUACCUCUGGUGCAUGUUCUGGGUUGUCCCUGGCAUUUUUUUUAAUUCUGGAGGCAGCCACUUUAAGCAGCUUUACCUGUGUUGAAUUAGAUCCAGCAGGCUGAUCUGACCCCACACUGACCUAAAUGGUCAGCGUAGAUGGGGACCUAGAGUUUGUCUGAUAAGAAUGUAAAUACCCUUCCCUAAACUUCAAAUCCCAGAAUUUCAUAGGAUGCAACUAUAGCAGUUAAAAUGGAAUAUAGAAUUAUACCUAUGUAGUGGGCUCGGGCUGUGGCGCAGGCUGGAGAGCAGCUGCAAUGAAUCACUGCAAUGAAUCACUCUGACCAGGAGGUCAUGAGUUCGAGGCCCGCUCGGAGCCUAUGUUUGUCUUGUCUUUGUUCUAUGUUAAAAGGCAUUGAAUGUUUGCCUAUAUGUGUAAUGUGUCCCCUUCGGGGUGAGAAGGGCGGAAUAUAAAUGCUGUAAAUAAAUAAAUAAUAAUAGUGUAUAAGGGCCCUUAUCUCUAUUGUAUUUGAGAGAAAGCUAGUACCUUGUUUCCCCGAAAAUAAGACAUCCCCUGAAAAUAAGACCUAGUAGAGGUUUUGCUGAAUUGCUAAAUAUAAGGCCUCCCCCGAAAGUAAGACCUAGCAAAGUUUUGAUUGUAAGCAUACUAGCUGAAGAGAACACCAGAGCAUGCAGAAUCAGUAAAUGUAUGUACUAUAGAUUGUUGUACAUGGAAAUAAUGGUAGUAACAAGAAAUUCUUGAUAGGAUUCACAGUUUGUUUAGUUAUGCUGGUUUGUGAUGACAACUACUGUACAACAUAUGAUAAAUGUUCAAUUUUUUUGGUUCAACAAUAAAUGUGAAUUCUUCUUCAUGGAAAAACAAGACAUCCCCUGAAAAUAAGACCUAGCGCAACUUUGGGAGCAAAUAUUAAUAUAAGACACUGUUAUUAUUGGGGAAACACGGUAUUGCCUAUCAACUAAAUUUCCAGGUAAAACAUGUCACAGAAAUAACUAAUAUGCAAGCUUUUAUCUUAUGCUUGUAUUAUUGUUUUGAAGAAUGUUUCUUUGCAUACACAAACACACACACACAUUCUCUGUAGAUAUAUAGAUACAGGUAAGGAAAGAUGCACACAUCGAACUGGGCAAAUGCUUGUUGUGAAAGAGAAACACCCAAUUAUCUAAAAUGUAAUCUUAAUGUGUCUUAUUAAAAACAGAUUACAUUAUAAAUGUACAAUGCAAUUUGCACAUUACAGCAGACACUUUGCAAAAUACAUGCCGCUUCUGCUGCGCAACAACCUGCAAAAGUGAAGAUACAGAAAGUGAGGAGGGAGAGGGGAAAAGCUGCUAUCUUUCUCUAAAUUGAUGUAUUUGGUGUUGAUAGUCAGAUACAGCUUUCACCUUCAUCCCAGCUUGUUUCUGACCCACUGAGUUAGUGUUAAUCACCCCUGUAGGCACCAAUAAUUUCCCAUAUGUGGAUUUUGAUAAGUUAGAGCACCCACUUCAUUUCAAGAAGAUUCCAGCUGACUAUCCAGUUAUCGCUAUGGACAGCUUCAAGCACUUCCAUGCCGGUCCUUGUAUUCUUAGCUUUAUCAAGUGCUUUGCACUUUUUUGUCUUUUAUCUCUUAAUUGAGACCUGACUGCAAGAAAAGCCUAUCUCUUAAACUGUGUUGCAUUACGUAUUAACUUUAACUGCGGCUUCGUCUACUUGAGGUACAGAAAGCCUUCAGAAAGACGGCGGGAGAGAGGGGAAAAAUCUUUCUAAAUCUCUAUUUAGAAGAAGGAGGGGGAAAUGUGUAAAUGCUACAAUGUAAUAGAAAAAAGCACCUCUUUUUCUGGACAAGCUCUCCUAAAGACGAUUGAAAAGUGUUUACGUAUUACAGAACUGGGAGUGUGGCGGGAGGGGGACAGCAGAGAGAGAGAGAAGCUUUAUAUCCUAUCUUUACUGACAAUAAAUUGCAAUGCAAUGACUCUGGGAAAAUAAAAAAGAUACAAUAUUAGGAAACCAAUAGAGCGGAAGCAAGGAUAUUAUUUUGUAAUUAAAGGUGAUAAAGAAUUCCUCAUUUACUUUGUAGCAAUGGUCUGUUAGUUCAUUCACUUGUAAAUAUACUUUGUGGAUGCUGCUUAUUAAUAGCUUUAUAUAGCAGCUCUGUGGCAAAAUACCAUCCUCCACAAAUUUCUCUAAUUAAGUGCCCCUUUUUAAGCACUGCAGAAGACAUUGGGGGAGGACACACUGGGUUUAUAAAUGGGCAAAGUGGCUUAGAGCUGGCAUUGUUUUCUUCAUCGUGGAAAUGUAUAGGCCAAAACCAAAGAAAGAAAGAAAGAAAGAAAGAAAGAAAGAAAGAAAGAAAGAAAGAAAGAAAGAAAGAAAGAAAGAAAGAAAGGAGGGAGGGAGGGAGGGAGACUGACUUCAGGAUAGCAUAUCUAAUGGAACACAAUAUAUAAACAAUACAAUGUUUGAAUUGUAUUGGGAGGCUCUCCUCUCGCUUCACAAGCACGGUUGGUGGGGACGAGGGAGAGGGUCUUCUCGGUAGUGGCCCCCUUACUCUGGAACUCUCUCCUCAGGGAGAUCAGAUUAGCAUCCACCCUGGCCAUAUUCCAAAAAGACUUGAAAACAUGGUUGUUUCAAUGUGCUUUUGAAUAAAUCAGCUUGCACUUUACUGCACAGUCCCGAAUCAUUCCUGCCCAUUCUUAGCACUUAAUUCCAUUCUGGUUCUAUUAUCUAUGGUUGCACAGCCUGCACCUUCCAUGCAACUUACCAUUUUUGCUCUGUAAUUGAUAUGGUUGUCUGUUCAUUUUAAGAUAUUUUAAAUAUCUCAAACUUGUAUUGUGCUUUAAUUGUACAUCAAACUGAUGUUUUUAAGCCUUGUCCCCAUGUGAGCUGCCCUGAGUCCCUUCGGAGAAAUGGAGGUGGGUUAUAAGAAAUAAAUUAUUUCUUAUAAUAAAUUAUUAUUAUUAUUAUUACAGUAGAGUCUCACUUAUCCAACAUAAUCGGACCAGCAGAACGUUGGAUAAGCAAAUAUGUUGGAUAAUAAGGAGAGAUUAAGAAAAAGCCUAUUAAACAUCAAAAUAGGUUAUGAUUUUACAAAUUAAGCACCAAAACAUCAUGUUAUACAACAAAUUUGACAGAAAAAGUAGUUCAUUACACAUUAAUGCUAUGUAGAAUUACUGUAUUUAUGAAUUUACGAAUUUAGCACCAAAAUAUCACAAUGCAUUGAAAACAUUGACUACAAAAAUGUGUUGGAUAAUCCAGAAUGUUGGAUAAGUGAGUGUUGGAUAAGUGAAACUCUACUGUAUUAUUAUUAUUAUUAUUAUUAUUAUUAUUAUUAUUAUUAUUAUUACAAUGUACAGGGGCCCCUGGUGGUGGCGCAGUGUGUUAAAGCGCUGAGCUGCUGAACUUGCAGACCAAAAGGUCCCAGGUUCAAAUCCCGAAACGGAAUGAGCGCCCGCUGUUAGCCCCAGCUCCUGCCAACCUAGCAGUUCGAAAACAUGCAAAUGUGUGUAGAUCAAUAGGUACCGCUCCGGCGGGAAGGUAACGGCGUUACAUGCAGCCAUGCUGGCCACAUGACCUUGGAGGUGUCUACGGACAACGGCGCCUCUUUGGCUGAGAAAUGGAAAUGAGCACCAACCCCCAGAGUCGGUCACGACUGGACUUAACGUCAGGGGGAAACCUUUACCUUUACCUACAAUGUACAACCAGCCUUCCAUAUCUGUGGGCUCCAGAUCCAUAGAUUUAACCAAGCAUGACUCAAAAAUAUUCCACUGUAGCU
Long non-coding RNA from Anolis carolinensis (green anole), 5328 nucleotides. The record is from Ensembl. NCBI's taxonomy places the organism in Eukaryota, Metazoa, Chordata, Lepidosauria, Squamata, Anolidae.